This 79-nucleotide transfer RNA is filed under the name Gammaproteobacteria bacterium. RNAcentral's name for it is "tRNA-Arg". It matches the Rfam family "tRNA". Rfam says of the family: Transfer RNA (tRNA) molecules are approximately 80 nucleotides in length. Their secondary structure includes four short double-helical elements and three loops (D, anti-codon, and T loops). Lineage: Bacteria; Pseudomonadati; Pseudomonadota; Gammaproteobacteria. RNAcentral also lists the same sequence under 1 other name. The record is from RNAcentral.
GCGCCUGUAGCUCAGUUUGGAUUAGAGUAUUGGCCUACGAAGCCAAGGGUCACAGGUUCAAAUCCUGUCGGGCGCGCCA